RNAcentral lists this ribosomal RNA (462 nucleotides) under Botryosphaeriaceae sp. MX388. Its description in RNAcentral is "eukaryotic LSU rRNA". The stretch from base 120 to 273 matches the Rfam family "5.8S ribosomal RNA". The record is from RNAcentral. Lineage: Eukaryota; Fungi; Ascomycota; Dothideomycetes; Botryosphaeriales; Botryosphaeriaceae.
UUUGGCGGGCCGCGGUUCUCCGCGGCCGGCCCCCUGACCGGGGCUGGCCUGCGCCCGCCAGAGGACCACAAAACUCCAGUCAGUGAACUUUGCUGUCUGAUUUAAAUUCAAUAAACUAAAACUUUCAACAACGGAUCUCUUGGUUCUGGCAUCGAUGAAGAACGCAGCGAAAUGCGAUAAGUAAUGUGAAUUGCAGAAUUCAGUGAAUCAUCGAAUCUUUGAACGCACAUUGCGCCCUUUGGUAUUCCGAAGGGCAUGCCUGUUCGAGCGUCAUUACACCCCUCAAGCUCUGCUUGGUGUUGGGCGGCGUCCUCCCGGACGCGCCUCAAAGACCUCGGCGGUGGCGUCUUGCCUCAAGCGUAAUAAAAAACACCUCGCUUUGGAGGACGGGACGACCGCUCGCCGGACGAACCUUUGAAUUCAUUUUCCUAGGUUGACCUCGGAUCAGGUAGGGAUACCCGC